RNAcentral lists this ribosomal RNA (254 nucleotides) under uncultured bacterium. Its description in RNAcentral is "partial 16S ribosomal RNA". It matches the Rfam family "Bacterial small subunit ribosomal RNA", at positions 524 to 776 of the family's 1533-position model. The record is from RNAcentral.
UACGUAGGGUGCAAGCGUUAAUCGGAAUUACUGGGCGUAAAGCGUGCGCAGGCGGUUAUGUAAGACAGGUGUGAAAUCCCAGGGCUUAACCUUGGAACUGCAUUUGUGACUGCAUAGCUAGAGUACGGUAGAGGGGGAGUGGAAUUCCGCGUGUAGCAGUGAAAUGCGUAGAUAUGCGGAGGAACACCGAUGGCGAAGGCAAUCCCCUGGACCUGUACUGACGCUCAUGCACGAAAGCGUGGGGAGCAAACAGG